RNAcentral lists this ribosomal RNA (726 nucleotides) under uncultured bacterium. RNAcentral describes it as "bacterial SSU rRNA". It matches the Rfam family "Bacterial small subunit ribosomal RNA", at positions 8 to 728 of the family's 1533-position model. The record is from RNAcentral.
AGAGUUUGAUCCUGGCUCAGAGUGAACGCUGGCGGCAUGCCUAACACAUGCAAGUCGAACGGUAACAGGCCCGCAAGGGUGCUGACGAGUGGCGGACGGGUGAGGAAUACAUCGGAAUUUGCCCAGUCGUGGGGGAUAACGUAGGGAAACUUACGCUAAUACCGCAUACGACCUAACGGUGAAAGCGGGGGAUCGCAAGACCUCGCGCGAGUGGAUGAGCCGAUGUCGGAUUAGCUAGUUGGCGGGGUAAAGGCCCACCAAGGCGACGAUCCGUAGCUGGUCUGAGAGGAUGAUCAGCCACACUGGGACUGAGACACGGCCCAGACUCCUACGGGAGGCAGCAGUGGGGAAUAUUGGACAAUGGGGGCAACCCUGAUCCAGCAAUGCCGCGUGUGUGAAGAAGGCCUUCGGGUUGUAAAGCACUUUUAUCCGGAACGAAACGCGCAGGGUGAAUAUCCUUGCGAACUGACGGUACCGGAGGAAUAAGCACCGGCUAACUUCGUGCCAGCAGCCGCGGUAAUACGAAGGGUGCAAGCGUUACUCGGAAUUACUGGGCGUAAAGGGUGCGUAGGUGGUUGUUUAAGUCUGUUGUGAAAGCCCCGGGCUCAACCUGGGAAUGGCAAUGGAUACUGGACAGCUAGAGUGCGGUAGAGGGUAGUGGAAUUCCCGGGUGUAGCAGUGAAAUGCGUAGAGAUCGGGAGGAACACCAGUGGCGAAGGCGGCUAC